RNAcentral lists this ribosomal RNA (443 nucleotides) under uncultured bacterium. RNAcentral describes it as "partial 16S ribosomal RNA". It matches the Rfam family "Bacterial small subunit ribosomal RNA", at positions 338 to 795 of the family's 1533-position model. The record is from RNAcentral.
CCUACGGGUGGCAGCAGUGGGGAAUAUUGGGCAAUGGGCGCAAGCCUGACCCAGCAACGCCGCGUGAAGGAAGAAGGCUUUCGGGUUGUAAACUUCUUUUCUCAGGGACGAAGCAAGUGACGGUACCUGAGGAAUAAGCCACGGCUAACUACGUGCCAGCAGCCGCGGUAAUACGUAGGUGGCAAGCGUUAUCCGGAUUUACUGGGUGUAAAGGGCGUGUAGGCGGGAAAGCAAGUCAGAUGUGAAAACCAUGGGCUCAACCUGUGGCCUGCAUUUGAAACUGUUUUUCUUGAGUACUGGAGAGGCAGACGGAAUGCCUGGUGUAGCGGUGAAAUGCGUAGAGAUUAGGAGGAACACCAGUGGCGAAGGCGGUCUGCUGGACAGCAACUGACGCUGAGGCGCGAAAGCGUGGGGAGCAAACAGGAUUAGAUACCCCGGUAGUC